Molecule: long non-coding RNA, 332 nt
Organism: Pyrgilauda ruficollis (rufous-necked snowfinch)
Lineage: Eukaryota; Metazoa; Chordata; Aves; Passeriformes; Passeridae
Exons: 3
Source: RefSeq, a predicted model, not a curated record
CCCGGCUCUGGCAGCACCAGGAGCCUGCUGAGACACCGGGCUGGGACUCCAGCCGCUGGGGAACAUCUUGAGAAAACAAGAGGAUGUGUUAUCCCUUCAGAAAUCACCAGAGUAGAUGGGGUAGAGGAGCAGCCAGGGAAAUGAGGGAUGCUAUCUCUUUGCUCAUCUGCAAAAAGUGGAGAGUCACACCUGAGGCAUCCAAAGAGGCCAGCAAGAUCCAGAGAAGGGAGAUGGGCAUUAAGGUUAAGCCAGAAAACUGCUGGGCACUAACACCCUCACCGCCUUGGCAGCAGUCAGCGCAGCAUGUGUAAUUGCAGCUUCAGUGACCUGCU